Molecule: long non-coding RNA, 1289 nt
Organism: Bubalus bubalis (water buffalo)
Lineage: Eukaryota; Metazoa; Chordata; Mammalia; Artiodactyla; Bovidae
Exons: 2
Source: RefSeq, a predicted model, not a curated record
GCACAAUCAGGGCUGCCUUAUAGGGUUCUGGUGGGAGCACAAUCAGGGCUGCCUUAUAGGGAUCUGGUGGGAGCACAAUCAGGGCUGCCUUAUAGGGAUCUGGUGGGCGGGGAGGGGGGGUUUUCUCAGGUCGUGCAGUGCACCUGUGCUGCUCACGCAGUCUUUCUGCACACCACUCGGGAUCACAGCGCCCUGCAGUCUGCUCACGGCCCGUCCCCACCGCCACCUUCAACUGCUGCGCCUGCACGUGGCUCUCGUAGCUACAGUAUUGGCUGAAGUCUUGCCGUUGGCAGUAGGAACUCUGGUGUGAAGGGCCGGAUACAAGCCGUCAGCACGCAGUCCGGGAGCAAGCACAGAUGGACUAAGUACAAAGGAAUAAAAGAUUUCUGAUUGUGACUACACUUUGGGAACCACUGACAUCCAGGCUGGAGAGAGAAAGGCCCUGGUAUUGAGGAUCAAGUGAUUGUACCUGUGAGGAGAGUGGGUUGCAGAGACUGGAAACCAUGCAGGGCUUGAUGACAUGGUCUACCUUUCUGAGUUUUCCUGACUAUCAAUCCAUCUACCGGCCAACUUCUUCUUGAGCCAGACAACCUCACCUCCUACAAAAGAGAUUACAGCAUCAUUAGUUAUAAUGAGAUUUUAUAUUAAUAAGGAUUUAUUGCUACCUAUAAAAUACAUACUCUGAUGGUAUGCUACCAAGCAGUCUGUCCUAAAUGAGAGGAACCCAACGUUGUCUGACAGAAUAAAUGGAUGAAAUACACUGUGUAAUGCACUAUGUUUCAUUUUUAUGUUGUGUGUUGACAUUCUCAUUUUCUGAAUUCAACAGCAUGUCAUUAGUGUGGUUUCUGAGUAAUUUUCAUGAUGUAACAAGAGUGUAACAUUUUCUGAAACCACUGGAUUAAUUAAUCCAGAUUUAUCUUCUCAGCAUCCCUGGUAAGUAAAGAGCUGUAUCAGUUCUACUGCUAGGACCCUCUGACUUAGAAGGAGAAAGAGGAGUUUGUGAUUCAGCGUAUGCUGGUACUUAGGGACUGGGGACUGCUGGACUAUUUCUUCUACAGUCAGUUUCCUUUGUUUACUUUUAAUUUUUUUGUCAUUGUAUUAAUACUUUGACUCCAGUGUACAAAUUAGUGUGAUUCAGUAAUGCAAACAUAACUGGCAGUGCAUAUUCCCCACCAACCUGCUACAGUUUCUUAAUUCCUACUAUGUUGGACAUUCUCUUAGGUUAUCUUAGGUAAUGGAGGUUUAAUGUAAGGAUGAGUAAUGAGGAAAUAAAGUUUGUUUUCUAUGUA